This 243-nucleotide ribosomal RNA is filed under the name uncultured bacterium. RNAcentral describes it as "partial 16S ribosomal RNA". It matches the Rfam family "Bacterial small subunit ribosomal RNA", at positions 534 to 776 of the family's 1533-position model. The record is from RNAcentral.
GCAAGCGUUGUCCGGAAUUAUUGGGCGUAAAGAGCUCGUAGGCGGUCUGUUACGUCUGCUGUGAAAACCCGGGGCUUAACCCUGGGCUUGCAGUGGAUACGGGCAGACUAGAGGCAGGUAGGGGAGAAUGGAAGUCCCGGUGUAGCGGUGAAAUGCGCAGAUAUCGGGAGGAACACCAGCGGCGAAGGCGGCUUUCUGGACCAAUACUGACGCUGAGACGCGAAAGCGUGGGGAGCAAACAGG